GGAGUGGAACUUCGCAUGGACGAAGUCUGACGGAGCAACGCCGCGUGAGUGAUGAAGGUUUUCGGAUCGUAAAGCUCUGUUGUUAGGGAAGAACAAGUGCAAGAGUAACUGCUUGCACCUUGACGGUACCUAACCAGAAAGCCACGGCUAACUACGUGCCAGCAGCCGCGGUAAUACGUAGGUGGCAAGCGUUGUCCGGAAUUAUUGGGCGUAAAGGGCUCGCAGGCGGUUUCUUAAGUCUGAUGUGAAAGCCCCCGGCUCAACCGGGGAGGGUCAUUGGAAACUGGGAAACUUGAGUGCAGAAGAGGAGAGUGGAAUUCCACGUGUAGCGGUGAAAUGCGUAGAGAUGUGGAGGAACACCAGUGGCGAAGGCGACUCUCUGGUCUGUAACUGACGCUGAGGAGCGAAAGCGUGGGGAGCGAACAGGAUUAGAUACCCUGGUAGUCCACGCCGUAAACGAUGAGUGCUAAGUGUUAAGGGGUUUCCGCCCCUUAAUGCUGCAGCUAAGGAAUUACUCACUCCGCCUGGGGAGAACGGGCACAAGACUGAACCUAAGGGGAAUUGAGGGAGGCCCUCACAAAGGCCGAGCAUGGGGUUUAUUUCGAGGCACACUAAAUAACCUUCCGAGGUUCUUGC
RNAcentral lists this ribosomal RNA (636 nucleotides) under Bacillus sp. JZDN46. RNAcentral's name for it is "bacterial SSU rRNA". It matches the Rfam family "Bacterial small subunit ribosomal RNA", at positions 354 to 985 of the family's 1533-position model. Lineage: Bacteria; Bacillati; Bacillota; Bacilli; Caryophanales; Bacillaceae. The record is from RNAcentral.